CGAACGCUGGCGGCAGGCUUAACACAUGCAAGUCGAGCGAGACCUUCGGGUCUAGCGGCGGACGGGUGAGUAACGCGUGGGAACGUGCCCUUCUCUACGGAAUAGCCCCGGGAAACUGGGAGUAAUACCGUAUACGCCCUUUGGGGGAAAGAUUUAUCGGAGAAGGAUCGGCCCGCGUUGGAUUAGGUAGUUGGUGGGGUAAUGGCCCACCAAGCCGACGAUCCAUAGCUGGUUUGAGAGGAUGAUCAGCCACACUGGGACUGAGACACGGCCCAGACUCCUACGGGAGGCAGCAGUGGGGAAUCUUAGACAAUGGGGGCAACCCUGAUCUAGCCAUGCCGCGUGAGUGAUGAAGGCCUUAGGGUUGUAAAGCUCUUUCAGCUGGGAAGAUAAUGACGGUACCAGCAGAAGAAGCCCCGGCUAACUCC
This 428-nucleotide ribosomal RNA is filed under the name uncultured bacterium. Its description in RNAcentral is "bacterial SSU rRNA". It matches the Rfam family "Bacterial small subunit ribosomal RNA", at positions 30 to 504 of the family's 1533-position model. The record is from RNAcentral.